AAUAGAUACCCCGGUAGUCCUAGCCGUAAACGAUGUAUACUUGGUGUAGCUGGUCUCAACCCCGGCUGUGCCGUAGCUAACGCGUUAAGUAUACCGCCUGGGGAGUACGCUCGCAAGGGUGAAACUCAAAAGAAUUGACGGGGACCCGCACAAGCAGUGGAGCAUGUGGUUUAAUUCGAUGCAACGCGAAGAACCUUACCUGGGCUUGACAUGCAGAGGACAGGAUCAGAGAUGAUCUCUCCCUUCGGGGUCUCUGCACAGGUGCUGCAUGGCUGUCGUCAGCUCGUGCCGUGAGGUGUUGGGUUAAGUCCCGCAACGAGCGCAACCCUUGUCACUAGUUGCCAACAUUUAAGGUGGGAACUCUAGUGAGACUGCCUGGGGUUAACCAGGAGGAAGGUGAGGAUGACGUCAAGUCCGCAUGGCCCUUAUGUCCAGGGCUACACACGUGCUACAAUGGGCGGUACAGAAGGCAGCUAAGCCGUGAGGUAGAGCCAAUCCUAGAAAACCGUCCCAGUUCGGAUUGU
Molecule: ribosomal RNA, 524 nt
Filed under: uncultured bacterium
Lineage: Bacteria
Description: bacterial SSU rRNA
Rfam family: Bacterial small subunit ribosomal RNA
Source: RNAcentral